UUGCCAGCCCGCUCAGAACUUAAGGAAUUGACGGGGCCCGCACAAGCGGUGGAGCAUGUGGUUUAAUUCGAUGAUACGCGAGGAACCUUACCUGGGCUCAAAUGUAUGUUGACGUAUUCUGAAAGGGAUACUUCUUCGGACAAUAUACAAGGUGCUGCAUGGUUGUCGUCAGCUCGUGCCGUGAGGUGUCGGGUUAAGUCCCAUAACGAGCGCAACCCCUAUCAUUAGUUGCCAUCAGGUCAAGCUGGGGACUCUAAUGAAACUGCCUACGCAAGUAGUGAGGAAGGUGGGGAUGACGUCAAAUCAGCACGGCCCUUACGUCCAGGGCUACACACGUGCUACAAUGGCCGGUACAAAGGGCAGCUACCUGGUGACAGGAUGCUAAUCUCAAAAGCCGGCCUCAGUUCGGAUUGGAGGCUGCAACUCGCCUCCAUGAAGUCGGAAUCGCUAGUAACCGCAGAUCAGCUACGUUGCGGUGAAUACGUUCCCGGGCCUU
This 496-nucleotide ribosomal RNA is filed under the name uncultured Sphingobacteriales bacterium. Its description in RNAcentral is "bacterial SSU rRNA". It matches the Rfam family "Bacterial small subunit ribosomal RNA", at positions 904 to 1382 of the family's 1533-position model. The record is from RNAcentral. Lineage: Bacteria; Pseudomonadati; Bacteroidota; Sphingobacteriia; Sphingobacteriales.